This 272-nucleotide unclassified non-coding RNA is filed under the name uncultured Inocybe. RNAcentral's name for it is "partial contains 5.8S ribosomal RNA, internal transcribed spacer 2, and large subunit ribosomal RNA". The record is from RNAcentral. Lineage: Eukaryota; Fungi; Basidiomycota; Agaricomycetes; Agaricales; Cortinariaceae.
AACGCAUCUUGCGCUCCUUGGUAUUCUGAGGAGCAUGCCUGUUUGAGUGUCAUUAAUAUCUCAACCAUACUCAUGUUGGAGGGUAUGGCUUGGACGUGGGGGUUACAGGCCCUUAUUUGUGGUCUGCUCCCCUGAAAUACAUGAGUGGCAAAGCCCCUCCAUUAGGUGUGAUACUUAUCUGCAUCUAUGGGGAUCUACUUGUUGCUGCUGGAUCGUAUGUUGUUGUUGUUGUUCUUGACCUCAAAUCAGGUAGGACCACCCGCUGAACUUAA